AAAGUCGUAACAAGGUUUCCGUAGGUGAACCUGCGGAAGGAUCAUUAAUGUUACGGACCGCGGUUUAACACCCGUGGAACCGGUUAACCCCAUGUUGUCUAUCACCUUGUUUCUUUGACGGGUUCAUCCGUCAGAAGAUAUCUCAAACCCUUGAAUCUGUCGUCUGAAUGAAAUAUCAAAUAAAGCAAAACUUUCAACAACGGAUCUCUUGGUUCUG
Molecule: unclassified non-coding RNA, 217 nt
Filed under: Ascomycota sp.
Lineage: Eukaryota; Fungi; Ascomycota
Description: partial contains small subunit ribosomal RNA, internal transcribed spacer 1, and 5.8S ribosomal RNA
Rfam family: Eukaryotic small subunit ribosomal RNA (bases 1-47)
Source: RNAcentral